AACGAACGCUGGCGGCAUGCCUAACACAUGCAAGUCGAACGAGACCUUCGUGUCUAUUUGCGCACGGGUGCGUAACGCGUGGGAACCUGCCCUUAGGUUCGGAAUAACUCCCCUAAAGUGGUUCUAAUACCGGAUAAUUUCUUCCGACCAAAGAUUCAUCGCCUUUUGAUGGGCCUUCGUUGGAUUAGCUAGUUUGUAGGGUAAAAGCCUACCAAGGCGAGAAUCGAUAGCUGGUCAGAGAGGAUGAUCAGCCACACUGGGACUGAGACACGGCGCAGAAUACUGCAGGAGGGAGCAAUGGGGAAUAUUGGAAAGUGGGAGAAAGGCUGAAGGAGCAAAGGCGCGUGGGUGAUGAAGGCCUUAGGGUAGUAAAGAAAUUUUACACGGGAUGAUAAUGACAGUACCGGAAGAAUAAGCCCCGGCUAACUACGUG
This 433-nucleotide ribosomal RNA is filed under the name uncultured bacterium. RNAcentral describes it as "partial 16S ribosomal RNA". It matches the Rfam family "Bacterial small subunit ribosomal RNA", at positions 29 to 507 of the family's 1533-position model. The record is from RNAcentral.